GAGCAAGAUCCCGGAGAUGGAUUCUGAGACAUGAAUCCAGGCCCUACGGGGCGCAGCAGGCGCGCAAACUUUACAAUGCGAGCAAUCGUGAUAAGGAAACCCUGAGUGCCUGUCGAUGCAGGCUGUUCAUAUAUCUAAAUCAUAUGUGAAGAAAGGGCAGGGCAAGACCGGUGCCAGCCGCCGCGGUAAUACCGGCUGCUCGAGUGAUGGCCACUAUUACUGGGUUUAAAGCGUCCGUAGCUUGACUGUUAGGUCUCUUGGGAAAUCUUCGCGCUCAACGUGAAGGCGUCUAAGAGAUACCGGCAGUCUUGGAACUGGGAGAGGUAAACCGUACUUCGGGGGUAGGAGUGAAAUCUUGUAAUCCUCGAGGGACGACCUAUGGCGAAGGCAGUUUACCAG
This 399-nucleotide ribosomal RNA is filed under the name uncultured Methanocorpusculum sp. RNAcentral's name for it is "bacterial SSU rRNA". It matches the Rfam family "Archaeal small subunit ribosomal RNA", at positions 280 to 683 of the family's 1478-position model. Lineage: Archaea; Methanobacteriati; Methanobacteriota; Methanomicrobia; Methanomicrobiales; Methanocorpusculaceae. The record is from RNAcentral.